Long non-coding RNA from Sorghum bicolor (sorghum), 756 nucleotides. RefSeq lists it as uncharacterized. The transcript has 2 exons. NCBI's taxonomy places the organism in Eukaryota, Viridiplantae, Streptophyta, Magnoliopsida, Poales, Poaceae. The record is from RefSeq and is a predicted model, not a curated record.
UUUCGCUUGGGACAAUUGACAGUCACACCUACUCCAGCUAUCAGCUGAAGGAGAAACGUUCCCUGCAUAAUCAGUACAGUAGGUCAGUAGCUUAGGUGAGAUCUGUCCUAGACCUCUUUUCACUAGCGAAAGGGUCUCUAGAUGUUUUGACAUUUUUUUUUCAUUGUCAAAAGGGUCUCUAGAUAUUUUGAGUAGCACUCUUCAGGUUUCUAAGUUCGAUUCUGUGGGAGCCAAAUUUCAAGCUAAAGUUUUAAAAAAAGGUCUUUUCAUAUGAGGUCCAACCCCUAUCCCGGUUGAAAAAAUCUUCUUCCUAAUACAGUAUCCGAAGGCUCUCUUAUCCCCACAGUUAGGAGGACGAGCUGACUGCUACGGGAGGUGCCAUCCAGACCUGCUCCGCCGUGGUUUCCUCUGUGGGGGAAGCGGCGGCAACGGAGGUAGAGCAGGAGACGGUCGCGGCCAUGGUCCAUGGAGGCGGUCAGGCGGGCAGGCGGCAACGCAGGUGAACACUGCAUCGCAGGUGGGCCCCUUUUUGAAGUCGACGAUACAGCCUGCAUAAACCUCACUUCACUCCGUUGCUCUGUUUGGGCAUACGGAGUACAUGGGCCACACAUGACACAACAAGUUCAAAGUCGCAACUCGCAAGAGCCCAGGAGCUCUAGUGUCAGCUGGCACCCAACAAUCAGUGAAAUCUACUUAUCUACCCUUCUCGCCGACACGUGGGGUAUAUAUAUGUAUAAGUCAACAUUGUUUCCAUUA